GGAUGUAGCUCAGUGGUAGAGCACAUGCCCAGCAUGCACCAGGCCCUGGCUUUGAUCCCUAGCAUUGCA
This 69-nucleotide transfer RNA is filed under the name Marmota monax (woodchuck). RNAcentral's name for it is "tRNA.Ala". The record is from RNAcentral. Lineage: Eukaryota; Metazoa; Chordata; Mammalia; Rodentia; Sciuridae.